Molecule: ribosomal RNA, 125 nt
Filed under: uncultured bacterium
Lineage: Bacteria
Description: partial 16S ribosomal RNA
Rfam family: Bacterial small subunit ribosomal RNA
Source: RNAcentral
AAUGGGCGAAAGCCUGACCCAGCAACGCCGCGUGAGGGAAGAAGGUUUUCGGAUUGUAAACCUCUGUCCUAAGGGACGAAGGAAAUGACGGUACCUUAGGAGGAAGCCCCGGCUAACUACGUGCC